This 277-nucleotide long non-coding RNA is filed under the name Elaeis guineensis (African oil palm). RNAcentral describes it as "long non-coding RNA (EGUI_LNC007535)". The record is from RNAcentral. Lineage: Eukaryota; Viridiplantae; Streptophyta; Magnoliopsida; Arecales; Arecaceae.
CUGACAUCUUUACCAAACCCCUUGAUGAAAAAAAGUUUAGCAUAAUUAGAAUAGAAUUAGGAAUGUGUUAUCAUUCAGAUUAGAUCUCUCAUCAUAGACUGAGCUAGUCCAAAUACAAAUCUUCUUGAAUCAAUAUUUUUUGCUAUUCCCUGGAAUUUCAAAAUUAUCAAUUUCUGGGGCUAGAGUCGACUCAUGGUCGAAAGUGCUAUUUUUAACCUGAGCCUUCUUUUCUUCGAAUCACUUUACCCUUUUUACUGUGCCCCAUAGAAACCUCUCC